GGGCUCACAGAAGUUGGCUGUCGCCGGCGGACGUUGUCAGCUCCGAAUUCUUAGGCCGAGUCCAACGGUUGAGCUGGCUUACUAGCUCAUAGAGUUACGUGGCAGAGCCACGUCGAUAUAAAAGACAGCUCGUCCAUCAGGUUACCUCUUCGCACGCCUCUCAAAGUGACCGUGGGACCCACCCAACUUACCUUGUUACUCACCCGUUUCUCACCCGUUUGUUUCCGGGCACACAGAGCCACGGAGGGGAAGGCCGCCAUGGCCUCCGAGACGCGAGCCAUGGUCCACCCCGGAGGCCGCACCGCUGCACGCUUGAUGGACUUGAGCUGCCGGCGGCCUCCGUGGUGCCGCUCCCGCCUCCUCGUCGGUGGCCGCCGCCGACCACGCUGCAGCCGGCCCGGCGAGGCCGUCCUCGUUUCUCUCGUCGCGCGCACCGCUGCCGCAGCCGGUUCCGGUCCAACCGUCCGCGCUUCGCUCGCAGUGCGCCACCGCCGGCGGUCCUGGUCCGCGGUCCGACCGUCCGCACAUCCUCUUCCAGCUCGCGAACAACGAGUUUGAUUCUGGCGAGGUCACCUCCCUCUCCUCCGGCGGCUCGAGUUCGGCCCCGUCGGCGCACGGGCGCCCGUCGGUGCUCCCGGCUUUUAGCGCAGAUGGGAAACGAGGGAGAGAGACAAGGACGGCGUGCGCAAGAGCAGGCCCCGCGAGCACCUCGUAAUGCGUCCGAGCUAAGGGUGGAAAUAAGAGAGAGCUGUGGCUGAGCUGCAGCCUCAAGCCUGAAGCGACUACAGUGCUACUGCAAGCCUGCGGCUGCUUGUAGCUGUAGCUGCUGCAACCAGGCUGCAAGCACUUAUCUAUCACUUGUACAAUAGGAAGCUUUUCACUGAAAAAUUCUUUGAGCUGCACCCGAGUUUUU
This 913-nucleotide long non-coding RNA is filed under the name Setaria italica (foxtail millet). RNAcentral describes it as "long non-coding RNA (SITA_LNC001730)". The record is from RNAcentral. Lineage: Eukaryota; Viridiplantae; Streptophyta; Magnoliopsida; Poales; Poaceae.